ACCCUAGCAUUCCCCUACAUUGGGGCAUCGAACACCCUCAGGCCCUAGGACCUCUCGGGGGAGAAUUCGUGAGAAGCUCUUAUGAAUCAGGCAUUUUGAUGGGGUGAUUGAUUAGUAGUCUAUCUCCCCCAAAGUCUGACACCUCUCCGCUGGCAAUUCCAAAAGGAGCUGGCAGACACAGGUAUGAGGGAGUCAGCAUUCAGGGAGGGGCUUAGUCAUGAACCUGAGUCCUGGUAACACAGGAGACGAGUGAAAGAGAAACCACCAUUAAGUUCCCAAGUCUCAGAGACUGCUUGCAAGAGCGUAGGCGGAAACAAUUUUAGGGAUGAGCUGAAAAACUGUUAGUAAUCUGACAGGGGUGGGGGGCUGGAGUGCGGAGGAGCUGGGGACCCAUGACUGCACUGUCUAACUGGGACGCUUCUGCUGUUCCAGGUUAGCUAGAAGGGACUCCAGCAGCCACUCAGCUUGUCCCUGUGCUAGUGAGCAGCCAGACACGGUGAAUAUUUAUAUGGUGAAAUGCGGCCCCUUGUGGCCCGAUUCAGGAAGAAGAAGGAAAAAAAAAAUCGAGCUCUGCCUAAGUGAUGCCCAACCUACUUGGAAGAGGGCAAGCCCAGAGACCCCAUGUGGGGAGUGGGCGUGGCGGUAGUCCCAAGAUGGCGUCCAGGAUUACAGCCAAGUCUUAUGACCUGCACCUGACUUCCUCAUACACCCGAAAAUAAGCCAUGUCCAUCAUCCAUCGUGAGAGCUGCGCAGGCGCACCAUGAUGCAAGAUCAGGCCUUUUGACGAAGGCCAAUGAACUGAGAUUUACACGGACUGGGCUGAUGGGGCAUGGUUGAGGGAUUAUAUAAGGGAUGGCGAUUGGGGGUUAGAGAAAGAUUCCUGCUUGCAUGUUGAAAGGUUCCUGAAUAAACUGCUUUGAGAAGAA
Molecule: long non-coding RNA, 926 nt
Organism: Mus musculus (house mouse)
Lineage: Eukaryota; Metazoa; Chordata; Mammalia; Rodentia; Muridae
Product: predicted gene, 46569
Exons: 2
Source: RefSeq, a predicted model, not a curated record